This 506-nucleotide ribosomal RNA is filed under the name uncultured bacterium. RNAcentral's name for it is "partial 16S ribosomal RNA". It matches the Rfam family "Bacterial small subunit ribosomal RNA", at positions 29 to 523 of the family's 1533-position model. The record is from RNAcentral.
AGUGAACGCUGGCGGUAGGCCUAACACAUGCAAGUCGAACGGCAGCACAGGAGAGCUUGCUCUCUGGGUGGCGAGUGGCGGACGGGUGAGGAAUACAUCGGAAUCUACUUUUUCGUGGGGGAUAACGUAGGGAAACUUACGCUAAUACCGCAUACGACCUACGGGUGAAAGCAGGGGAUCUUCGGACCUUGCGCGAUUGAAUGAGCCGAUGUCGGAUUAGCUAGUUGGCGGGGUAAAGGCCCACCAAGGCGACGAUCCGUAGCUGCUCUGAGGGGCUGAUCAGCCACACUGGAACUGAGACACGGUCCAGACUCCUACGGGAGGCAGCAGUGGGGAAUUGUGGACAAGGGGCGCAAGCCUGAUCCAGCCAUACCGCGUGGGUGAAGAAGGCCUUCGGGUUGUAAAGCCCUUUUGUUGGGAAAGAAAUCCAGCUGGUUAAUACCCUGUUGGGAUGACGGUACCCAAAGAAUAAGCACCGGCUAACUUCGUGCCAGCCGCCGCCGUAA